Zea mays is the source of this 95-nucleotide non-coding RNA. Lineage: Eukaryota; Viridiplantae; Streptophyta; Magnoliopsida; Poales; Poaceae. The record is from Rfam.
GAGGAUAUGAUGACCCUUUCCCCAGAUGAUCGACAUGAACAUACUGAGCGCUAUAAUUUCUCAUCUGAGAAAACCAAGACAGAAUUCUGAUCCUC